This 159-nucleotide ribosomal RNA is filed under the name Phaeophleospora eucalypticola. RNAcentral's name for it is "partial large subunit ribosomal RNA". It matches the Rfam family "Eukaryotic large subunit ribosomal RNA", at positions 99 to 261 of the family's 3401-position model. Lineage: Eukaryota; Fungi; Ascomycota; Dothideomycetes; Mycosphaerellales; Mycosphaerellaceae. The record is from RNAcentral.
CGGCAACAGCUCAAAUUUGAAAUCUGGCGCAAGCCCGAGUUGUAAUUUGUAGAGGAUGCUUCUGGGCAGCGGCCGUUCUAAGUUCCUUGGAACAGGACGUCAUAGAGGGUGAGAAUCCCGUAUGUGACCGGCACGUACCCUCCGCGUAGCUCCUUCGAC